RNAcentral lists this ribosomal RNA (465 nucleotides) under Vreelandella stevensii. RNAcentral's name for it is "partial 16S ribosomal RNA". It matches the Rfam family "Bacterial small subunit ribosomal RNA", at positions 338 to 795 of the family's 1533-position model. Lineage: Bacteria; Pseudomonadati; Pseudomonadota; Gammaproteobacteria; Oceanospirillales; Halomonadaceae. The record is from RNAcentral.
CCUACGGGAGGCAGCAGUGGGGAAUAUUGGACAAUGGGGGGAACCCUGAUCCAGCCAUGCCGCGUGUGUGAAGAAGGCCCUCGGGUUGUAAAGCACUUUCAGUGAGGAAGAACGCCUGGUGGUUAAUACCCAUCAGGAAAGACAUCACUCACAGAAGAAGCACCGGCUAACUCCGUGCCAGCAGCCGCGGUAAUACGGAGGGUGCGAGCGUUAAUCGGAAUUACUGGGCGUAAAGCGCGCGUAGGUGGCUUGAUAAGCCGGUUGUGAAAGCCCCGGGCUCAACCUGGGAACGGCAUCCGGAACUGUCCAGCUAGAGUGCAGGAGAGGAAGGUAGAAUUCCCGGUGUAGCGGUGAAAUGCGUAGAGAUCGGGAGGAAUACCAGUGGCGAAGGCGGCCUUCUGGACUGACACUGACACUGAGGUGCGAAAGCGUGGGUAGCAAACAGGAUUAGAUACCCUAGUGGUC